This 5191-nucleotide long non-coding RNA is filed under the name Brassica napus (rape). RNAcentral describes it as "long non-coding RNA (BNAP_LNC017433)". Lineage: Eukaryota; Viridiplantae; Streptophyta; Magnoliopsida; Brassicales; Brassicaceae. The record is from RNAcentral.
GGAGGAGGAGGGAAAAGAAAGAACCCCUAAAAAGUCUAAAACCCUUGUCGGAAUUAAGAAGCGCUAUGAAGAAGUGUAGUAGCUGAAGACUUUUUUCGAGAUGCGUUUCUUGCUUCGUCUUCCUCAGACCCACCUGCGGAAACUGUCUAGUUCGAUGUCAGUACUCAUGGGUUCGAAGCAGUUCCUCGAGUUUUGUCUUCUUCCUUCUUUUGCAGCUUCUUCUCCUUCUUGCACCCGUGGUGCUCAGAGGCAACUCUCUUCCGUUUCUAGAAGAUUUCGUCCGGUUCUAGCCUCGAGACCCGUGUCCAAAAGCAGCCCUUAUCACCAAAGGCCCAAUGGUGUAUCCCCCUACACUUCAAUCUCCAGAGCCCCAAAUCCUGGUAACGUCCUGAAUGCAAUUGAGUUCUCUGUUUCCAUGUGUAUGCAAUUGAGUUAAUUGCUCCUCUAUUAGUGGUGCUGUUUGAUAAAUUCUCAACGUUUUGUGACUUGUAGUUGAUCCUGAAGAUGGUGCUGUGCAGUCUAGAUUAGCCAACUUGAGGCUUAAAUUGGCUGAUAAUGGAAUUGAUGCUCAGAACUGUCCCUCCGGACAAUACAGUGGUUUGAUAUGUCCCGAGGUAUAAAAAUUUAUCUUUAUGUUGUAUAUACCAAGACUUGAGACUUGAGAGUACUAUAAUGUUGUCCUUUUCUUUUGGCAUUUGAGUAACUUUGAAAGGCUAAGUUUAUAUACUUAACACUGUUCUUUAUGUGCACAUCAGUGUGAAGGUGGUGACUCUGGAGAAAAGAGCUUGUCUCUUUUCAUUGCUGCUGAUUGGUAUGCAAAUCUUCUUUUUCUCACCAAAAUAAGCUUUGGUUUUGAAUUUUCCUUUUUGGUUUAUGAGACUGUAGUUAAUGCUGCCUUUUAAUUCACAGUUCUUCGGCUACAUGGAACUGCUUUCGAGGGAAGUGUGGGUUGAAAGGUGGAGUACGGGUGAGUUGCAACACAAGCAUGACACUCGUUUCUUGAAAUACAAAUUGAUUAUCCUCAUUCCUUUCUGCAGGUGGAUGGUAGGUUUGCAACAUCUGUAGUUCCAAUGGAGAAGGCUGAAAGAAAAGUUACGGUGGAGAGUUUAGAGCUAGAACCUCUCUGCGAUGAGGUUGUUGUCUUCUACAUACUCUUAUUGUUCUUUCUUUCUUUCUUCUCUGUUUACUGCUUUCGUUAGAAAAAAAACAUCUGAAUUUGAUACUUCAUCUCUCUGUAGUUAUAUGAGUUUGAUAAUACCGUAUUGUGUUCUUGGUUAUGCUUCAGAUUGAGGAUUAUUUCGCUGCAAGAAUGAUUUCGGCAGAAACACUCAAGAGAAAUCGGGUUAUGCAGAAAAGAAUAGGUGAUGAGGUACUUACGAAUAGUCUUCUGAAUCUGUUACUUUUCAAGAUUUUCUCUUGUCAGAGUCUUAAGGAGAUGUUACUUGGCUCUCACUGCUCCAUCUUGAUUGCAAUUGUUUCAUUUUGUGCGGCAGAUUGUAAUUGCUUUUACUUAUUGGCAAAGAGGGGAGCUUGUGAGUUGCAAGUACCGUUAUCUAACUAAGAAGUUCUUUCAGGUCCAUGUCAUUCAAAUUCCCUUUCUAAGAUCAGACAUGAACAACUCUCUCUCUCUCUCGAGGUUUCUAUAUCUUACAUGCUUUUUAUGUUUGUGUUUCCUUCAGGAAAAGAAUACACGGAGGAUCUUUUAUGGUCUUGACGACAUUGAGAAAUCAUCUGAAAUCAUUAUAGUACGUCUGCCUUUACCCUCCUAUUGAAUGAUCACAUGGUAUUGAUGAUGGCUAAACUGUCAAUAACUUUAGGUUGAAGGGGAAAUAGACAAACUUGCGAUGGAAGAGGCAGGUUUCCGAAAUUGUGUGUCCGUUCCUGAUGGAGCUCCAGCGUCUGUUUCUUCAAAGGAAACUCCAUCUGAAGAGAAGGUUUGUCUGCUCUCUAGGUUUCAUACCCUUUUUUAUCCAAGUUUUCUUAUUUGAUUCCCUAAGAACUUUACUCUUCUUUAUUAAAAUUUGAAAAUUUGAAAAACCAAACACCACAACCUGCCACCGUAGCUUGACUUCCUUAUCAGACUGAUCCAUAAAAGUAUCAUGGUUUGGAUGAGCUCUGAUGCCUGCUUUAGCAUCUUCAGCAGACGUACGUUUGUGAGGUAAAACGAACCCUUGCACCAGUUUCUUCAUAAUGGAUCGACCUGCAACAGUCUGGUUCUUAAACAGAACCUUUCCUGGCCCCUGUUUCUUCUCCUCUCUCUCUCCAAUCUGGUUAUCUUCGAGUAUCGCUAUGAUCCUGAGCCACAUUAAUAACCCAAUCCAAACUUUCCAGGCCCUACUUCUAGCAAAUCGUUGAUUCCUUUGUCGACACGCCAAGUAAAUCCAAACGAAUCUCCUAUUGAAUAGAAGAAAAAUCAUACCUUUAUUAUCCAAGCCAUCGCCACUUGAAGACCCGAGAUCACAUGUAUCUGUGUAAAUCGUAGAUCGUAAUAUCUUCGAGCCCCUAUCAAUUUCGGUCUUUUUCAUAUUCCCCUGCAACCCAAUCAAUCCUGAUUGAUCCCCUCGGAUCAGAUCAUCGUGAACUUUUCCUUGUUUGCUAAUACCGUAAUCCUGAUGAAGAUUCGGUAUCUCAUGUGCUAUUCCGACCCUCUUUCUUCCCGGAUCCCACUCUCGAAACACCAUCGGAACCCUAGAUCUAAAUCACCUUCGUCAUCGCCACCCAGAAAAAAAGCUUUCAUACGUACUAGUUUGUUUAUAAGGAAUUACAAAUAAUUUAUAAAACCUUAUAAAAUCCAAAAAACUUAUAAAAUAUUAUAGAAUGUUGACAAACUUUAUGAAAUAAAUUUAAAAACUCUUAUAAGAGUAUAUAUAAAAUCAUUUAUAAGUAUUUAUAUAUUAUUCAUAAGGUUUAAAAGUCAUUUAAUUCCGGAUACAAUGUACUAUUCCUCUUCUUGUUCUCUCUUUCGUAUAAGUUUCCUUUCAUGUAAUUCAUUUGGUAACAUGAGUAUUGUCACAAAAUAUAGACCAUUCAAUGUCCACCUAACCAAGCUUGAUUUUUGUAACAAGAAACAAAAUGUGGUAAAAAAGAGUAGUCUUAAUUACUUAGCCGCAAAAUAACAGGACAUUUCAUGGAAAGAGCAAGACUAUGAGUUAAGAGGACUAUAUACGGCUCUCAUCAAAACAUUAGAGAUAAUUCCUUGUUUUCAACAAAAAGUUGUUAUUACUAACAUAAUCUGAGAACAUCAAGGCUUCUUCAUAUCUCACUCUUCUAUAAAAGAAACGAUUGGAACCAAGCUCACUUACAGGUCCAACUAAUCUCUUCAACUAUGCAACUCGUAAGAGAGAUAUACAAUUGUUUUGGUAUAAGAGAUAUUUGAAGAAGAUGAAAGAGAAGAAUGUAUUAAGAAGCCAACUCUGCAACCUUUAUAAAGCCUUAUAAAUAUGUAAUUCUUUGAUGGCACAAACCACGUUCUUGUUCAGAGUCCCUCUUGCUUCUUCAAACAGCUCACAAACCUCGUCGAUCUUCAAAAUCUGAACGCAAGCCAACCAUAUAUUAUUCCUACGCAUCAGCACUCACUUCCAAAAACAAGAUUCAAAAAUAAUAUGCUUUCCUAACUCAACAAACUCAUGCUCCAUCUCCACUGCUUCUUUAGAUAUUAUACACAAAACAAGACAUAGAAAAAAUGAAUCACAUAAAGUACCAAACAGAACGUUACACUACCAAAACACUAACCUUCCACCUUAUAUACUGCACAUACUAAACCUUGCUAGUCAAACUACAAAUAGUAGCAUUGUAUUACAUCAAGAAAGUGAGGUACUUGAUAUGCAUAUCACCACAUAUAUUCUCCACAUCAUCUUUUAAAUCCAAAAGCUCACAGCACACCUUUGUAAUUCCCUGCAACAUUACCUGAUCAACCAAGAGAAGAAGUAAUCAUGGAAUAAUCUUACUCUUAGGUUAGUACUUUCUCAUGAAUUAAACAUAUGUUAAGCUCUAUGUCUUUUGAUUGCUAACAGAUCAACAGUAAGAUUCGAAAGGACCCAAUUUAUAAGGUCUUAUAAAUUUGAAAUUUGAAAACUUCAUGAGAAAAACUUCAUCUUCCUUCCCAUAAAUAGAUCGAUUUUGAUAAACCAAGCUACAAUUACAGAAAGAGAUGAAAAUCACAAUAUAUUCUCCUUUUACCUUUGUUAGCGUCGGGAGAGAGAUCGUCUCGUUUGUCUGAGCUUGUAGAGUAUGUCAGCUUCGCCGGAGAAUUAGUCAGCGUCGUCAGAUCUCGCCGGAAAAUUCGUCAGGGUCGUCAAGUCUCGCCGGAAUUGGUCAACGUGAAGAAUCUGAAAUUUGAGGAAUUUGAGCUUUGAAAAAAUCGUAGGAAAGAGAAAGAUGUUUUAGGUUUAAUUAGUCAGGGGUACAAUAGUAUUUUGCCUAUUAAAAUUUUAAUGGUAAAAUUGGUUAAGAUAUAAAUGAAAUGUGGUACAAGAAAAGUGGUAUUUUUGACAAAUUCCCAACUAUUUUUUAAAAAAAUUUAAGUAUUUAUUUAUAUAUUUAUUAGAAACCUAAAUUUCACUUUCCAAAAACCUUAUCUCACUCCUUUAUUAUAAAACUUAAGUCUAGAUUAGUUAAUCCUAUGGGUAUAAAUGUCUUUUACCUUUCAUUAAAAGCAAUGGUAAAAGUAAUGGUAAAAGUGGUCAGUGUAAAAUGCGGUGAUAUGAACAUAAGUAUUUGUGAGAUUUUUUUUUUUUUUUGCAUAACUUACUAAAAAGAAUGCGGAAACUUAACAAUGGGCCCAAAUAAAUGCAACGUGCCUGAACAAAUAAAGAAUGGGCCUUUUUGCUCAGAAACCCAAGUUACGGCAAAAGAGAACAAAAUCAAAAUCUCUUCUCUUCUUCUCAUUCUUCUUCCGUAAGACGCAGACGGAGGAGGAGGGAAAAGAAAGAACCCCUAAAAAGUCUAAAACCCUUGUCGGAAUUAAGAAGCGCUAUGAAGAAGUGUAGUAGCUGAAGACUUUUUUCGAGAUGCGUUUCUUGCUUCGCCUUCCUCAGACCCACCUGCGGAAACUGUCUAGUUCGAUGUCAGUACUCAUGGGUUCGAAGCAGUUCCUCGAGUUUUGUCUUCUUCCUUCUUUUGCAGCUUCUUCUCCUUCUUGCACCCGUGGUGCUCAGAGGCAACUCUCUUCCGUUUCUAGAAGAUUUCGUCC